RNAcentral lists this unclassified non-coding RNA (378 nucleotides) under uncultured delta proteobacterium. Its description in RNAcentral is "contains 16S-23S intergenic spacer region". Lineage: Bacteria; Deltaproteobacteria. The record is from RNAcentral.
UCUGCCUUAUCGGCAAGCGGUCCUAUUAGAGUGCCCAACUUAAUGCUGGCAACUAAUAGCAAGGGUUGCGCUCGUUGCGGGACUUAACCCAACAUCUCACGACACGAGCUGACGACAGCCAUGCAGCACCUGUCACCGCGUCCCCGAAGGGAACCCCUACUUUCAUAGGGUAGCGCGGGAUGUCAAACCUAGGUAAGGUUUUUCGCGUUGCAUCGAAUUGAACCACAUACUCCACCGCUUGUGCGGGCCCCCGUCAAUUUCUUUGAGUUUUAAUCUUGCGACCGUACUUCCCAGGCGGGAUACUUAAUGCGUUGGCUGCGACGCCGAAAGGGUAAGAACUUCCGACAUCUAGUAUCCAUAGUUUACGGCGUGGACUAC